This is a long non-coding RNA of Nicotiana attenuata, 5307 nucleotides long. RefSeq lists it as uncharacterized. The transcript is spliced from 4 exons. NCBI's taxonomy places the organism in Eukaryota, Viridiplantae, Streptophyta, Magnoliopsida, Solanales, Solanaceae. The record is from RefSeq and is a predicted model, not a curated record.
CUUUUAGCUCAAAGAAUGAGGCAAUCGAAGAAAAAUGGGAUUCUUCUAGGUACUUGACAAUUUCUGCCAUGCCUACGAUUUCUAAUUUGCUCAAUCAACAGCAAUAUUUGCAUGUGUGUGUAUUGUAUGUCUCUUUUUGUCUCUCUAUCUGUGACUACUUUGCUCCUGCGUUUUAGGCAAAGCAUAGAUAAGAGAGGGACUUUCCAAGAUUCGAACACAGGACCUCUUGUUUGGUGAAACCCAUGUCAUUUUCUUCUUAGCAUCGCUCAAAAAAUGAGGUAUGAGAGAGAAUUGUGGUAUAUGCAUUUAAAAAUUGGAUCUUUUUUGUAUAGCCAUGUUGUUGCUGCUGCUGCUGGAAUUGCUUCUGUUUGUGCUGUUUGCUGUUAUUGCUGCUGUUGGGCUGUUUUACGAACCAAACAGCAAGGGAUCAAUGUAACAAGGGAGAAGUUAAGGCUGUGAUGGUAAUGCUAAGGAGGGGGUCUUCCCUUGUCCUAAGUAUGGUUUUCUGAUAUACUCACAAAGAUGCCUCGAUUGAAACAUCAUGGCAUGGUAACCCCGAGAGGUUGCAGCCAUGGCGGGGUAACCUGGAGAGAUUGUAGGGUACAUGAUGCGCAUCUCUAUAUGUUUUUUAUUAGAAAAUAUCGAAGCUGCGUCUGUACUGUGGCAGGGUACUAUUCUUCCACUAGACCACUUGUCCUUCUUAACAUGAUGCGCAUGUAUAUUGUCCGGAAACUAGGGGUAUCAAUGGUUCGGUUUGGCCAGUUAUUUUACAAUGAGAUCCAUAUUUUUGGGAGGUUCAAAAGAAUUAGAGAACUAUAACAUGAACCAGAAGGUCAAAUGAAAAUGGCAAAAAUCUCAAUGGUUCAAGUCUGAGGCUGCUGGGUUCAGAGAGUUGUGGGGAGUUGUUUGAGUGGUUGUCCCUCUCUGUCAUUCCUAGCAGCCAAUGAUCACUCAAUAUCUCCCAAUUUCGGACCACCCUUUAGCAAAAUAAGUUCGACGAGCCAGUGAAGAUUUUCACUCUUUACUCAUCAGAUGGUUGAGCUUUGCUAUAUCUUGGCGUGGCGCUUUUGGUUGGUCUUGAGAUAUGGGAGCUAUUUGAUUUCCGUGUCUCACAAAGGCUUCCCAUUAAGCUUGCAGCCAUGGCAGAGUUUAGCUUAUGCUUGAGAAGAGGCUAAUCUUAGCUGCCCAAGUAUCUGUAUGUUUUCAAAGAAGGAGGCUUUUUAUGGAAGUCGAGAAAGGUUGAGAUUUUCUAAGGGUGGUUAGUCUCUUCCUCUGAAGUUCAGUAUAGCCGAUGAAUUUUCCAGUACUAUUGUUACAAAGAUAAAGAUUAACAGCCCUAUCAUCAGCUAAUGCCAAUUAUGCUCUUGAUGAUGAUGACGACGACGACGAUAACCAUGGUUAUGGCAAGCAAACAACAAACAACAACAAACCCAGUUAAUCCCUCGUGUGGUGUCUUGGGAGGAGUGUAUACGCAGACCUUACCCCUACCUGGUGAAGGUAGAUAGGCAUGGUUAUUGCAAUAAGGAAAAUACAUAUUCUGCCCCCUAAGCUUGUCCCGGAGAACCUGAAUCCUUAACCCUGAACUUUGUGAUGAGGCUAUGAUGAUAUUCUCCCGGAAGCUUGAAAAUCAGAUUUUUGAGCUGAUUCGUAUCUUGGCUAGGCAAAGGCAGGGAAUUUGUGAGGUAGGUUCUUAUGUGCUUCUCACGAAGGCAUCUGCUUUUUGCAGCCAUGUCGGAUUAGCCCUUCUUUUAUGAUAGCAGUACUAAGUACGCCUUGCGUUCCAAUUUAUGUGAACUGAAAAUGUCCAAAUUGCUAUUGAAAAGUUUCUAUCUUUCCAAAGAGGCAGUGAUAUUAUUGUUAUCCUGAGCUGAAAUUGGAGGCAUGGAGAAAACCGACUCGUAUCUUGGCAGGGCAUACCGGGAUCAUGCAACUGAUUCAUUUUGCAGCCAUGGCGUUGUUGUCUUCUCUUUGCCCCAUUUUACACAGAUCUGAGCCUCAACCCUCAGUAGGAAGAAUGAGGCAUCAAAGAGAGAAAUGGGAUUUUCAGUAAAGGGUGGUUGCCCCCUCUCUGCCGUGUCCCUGAUUUCUUCAUUCAAUAAAGCAACAACCCUUUGGGAAAAAAGAAAAGAAACGUAAAAUGUUUCUGCUUCUUCUGCUACAACAGCUGAUUGCACAAAUAGCCGAUUUUAUGACCCCUUAUAUUUGCGAAGGUGACAACUGAUUUGCACAAAUAGGAUUACUGAAAUGGACUAUGAUGAUCGUUUGCUUCUUCCUGGGUUAUCUACUUUUACAUAUGUUGAGAAAGAUCUGACCCGUAUCUUGGCAGGGCAACCUGUGUAUGGCAAUCAUUUGCAAACCAGUGUCUGCAGCCACAGCCACAGUGUGGUCCCUUUCUCUUUGCAUGUUCAUAGAAUUACAGCAAAAUAUGAGCCCUAAAGGCCCAAUUGGGUUCUUCCGUUUUUUCUUGAACACCCAUUUCAGACGCAGUUCAAAAAACGAGGCAAUUGGAGAAAAAAGGGGAUUUUUUGAGGGUGUUUGACCAUCUCCAUCAUGCCUAUGAUUUCUUUUUUACUUUUAGCUCUAACCAACAGCCCUUUUUGUAUGUGAAAGAGGUCCAUAUUUACACCUGUACUACAUGAAAUGGUCUACUUUUGCGCUCCACUUAAUAGUUGAGGGCUAAUUUUGCACCUGUGUACUUUUUCUUCUCAGGUAUCAAUACAUGAUUUCAAUCCAAAAAGCACUUUGCUUGCUCAGUGAAUGUAGUUGAUAGAUUGACAUAUAAAUAGAAAAAAAUGAGGCUCUGAUCAUAAAGAUAGUGCUUUUAUCCAUACAUAUCAUGAGAAAAUGUCCAAAUUGAUCCUUUAUGAGGCAGUGAUGAUCUUUCAAUCUAUCCUCCUGAUUUAGUAAUUGAGCAUAGACAGUACCUGAACUGUAUCUUGGCAGGGCAAUGUCCCAGAUGCAUGUGAUAAAUUGUAACAUGCAACUGAGGGUAUUUGCAGCCAUGGCGUGGCCGGACUUUCUCAGUUUGAGCGUAAAUACAGCUCUGAGCCUCAGUUAUUAAAAAAAAAAUUAGAGCGUUAUAAGAUGAAGCAGAGGGGGAAAUAAGAAUGGCAAAAAUCUCAUUAGUUUAAGUCUGAGGCUGCUGGAUUCAGAGAGUUGUGGGGAGUUCUUUGAGUGGUUGCCCCUCUUUGUUAUUCUUAGCAGAUCACUGAAAGUUUCCUAAUUUCAGAACACUCUUUAGUGAAGAAGUUCAAAUAAGGCAGUGAAGAUUUUCAUUCUUUACUCAUCAGAUGGUUGAGCUUUGCUAUUUCUUGGCGUGGCAGCUUUUGGGGUCUUGUGAGAUAUAGGAGCUAUUUUGGUUUCCGUGUCUCACAAAGGCUUCUUAAGCUUGCAGCCAUGGCGGGGUUUAGCUUAUGACUGAGAAAAGGCGAAUCUGAGCCCCUCCCAAAUGUCUGAUUGUGUUCAACGAAUGAGGCUUUUUAUGGAACUCGGAGAAAGGUUGAGAUUUUCUAGGGGUGGUUACUCUCUUCCUCUGAAGUUCAGUAUAUCCAAUGAAUUAUCUUAUACUUUUGUAAUGAAGAGAGAUCACCAGCCCUUUCAUCAGCAGAAUGGCGAUUAUGGUGACGACGAUAGCCAUGGUUAUGGUAAUAAUAAGGGAAAAUACAUAUUUUGCUCCCUACACUUGUUCGGAAAAACCCAAAUCCUAAACCCUGAACUUUGUGAAUGAGGCUAUGGUGAUAUUCCAGGAAGCUUGAAAGUUGGAGUUUAUAGCUGAUUCAUAUCUUGGUUAGGCAAAGGCAGCAGUAUCUGUGAGUUAAACAGUAGUUUCUAGGGGCCCUGCUUUACCAGGCUGGGGCAACUCUUUACCAAAAACAGAGGUCUCCGCAAAGUCGUGAAUGAAGGGAAUAUCUUAUCGAGGAAGAAUCCUCAUUUCAGAAGAUAUGAAACGAGUCCAGAGAGAAAGGAAGUGAAUAUUGAGGAUUCAUAUACUGUCUUAUAACCAGGGGUACUAUUGAAGCUAGUUGUUGCUGCAGUUAUCUACACAAUAUUCAAAUUUUCAUGCCUUUGUUUCAAUCUUGAAUACUUGAAGUUUCAGAGGCAGUGAAGAUUAUAUACAAUGAAAAUGAAAAGUGAAGAAGAUUAGAGUUGAUUCAUGGCCUGGCUUGGUGAGUCCAAUCGGAAGGUCUUUUUUAUAAGGCAACCGUAGAUUGUGCAGUCAUGGCAGUGUUAACUCUGCUCUUUUUUCCUUUUCUUUUUUUGAUUAAAUAGGCGAAAAUCUGAGCCUCAUUCUUAACGUAGUUUAUGUACACUUUUACUAGUCUUUCUGGAAAUAGAUUUUGAUUACCUUCAUUAUGGAACCACUGAAGUCAACAGCUUUGGCUUCCAACUCUAAAUCCUAAAGAGAAAUAGGGUUUCUGGGUUGAGUACAAGCAUUUGUUAUAUUGCCAGUUCGAGUGGCUUUCAACGAUCUUGAUAAGGAGCUUGAGUUUUCUCCUUCGGACUUAAAAUUCAGUCUUGAUUGGGUUGAUGGAAAUUGGAUCUGCCCGCAUGAAAAGAUGGAAUGGCAGUUUAUAGGCAUCCACAAAUACAAGAAGGAAAAACCAGCUUAUGUUGGACAUCCAAAAGGGGGUUGCACGCCAUAUGUUGCAUUGCCUCAGCUUCACUACUUGCGUGAGGCCUCAAAGAUGCAAUUCUGAUUCUUGGCUACUGAAGUUCAGAGCUAUUGCUUUGUUCUUGAAUGCUAUUUGCUAUCAAUUGCACCAUGAUCUUUCUUUUUCUCACCCAAUAGUGUUGAUUAAUAUGGACGAUAUGUCUGUUGACAAAUUUUGUGCUAAAUAUUUUGCAAUUGCUGCAGCAUCCACUGGGUGAUGAUCAUGAGGUCAACCAUAUGCUGAAAUACGGAAUGUAUUGUACAGCAAACUCUAUUUGUGAAUGAUCUUUUGUCCCGCUGGAAUGUCUUUCUCAUAAAAGGCAACUGAUAAUUGCAGCCAUGGCAGUGUAAACUCUCUUCUUUCCUGCGAUCAAAUAGGCGAAAAAUCGAAGCCUCAUCUUUUACUUGGUUUAUUUACAUUCUUUUUUGUCAGUCUUUCUGGAAAUAGUUUUAGAUUAGAAAUAUUUGAAUUAGGCUGUACACGUGUGAUCUGAAACAUUUUGGAGCUAGAUGUUAAUUUGAGACCUAUAUAUGGUGCUCGAGUCUAGGAACAUCUUUGCUGAUGUUAAUCUGGAUGUUAAAAUGAUUCACUUUCAAAUACAAUUUUCUAAAACUAAUUUGGUAAAAUAAUUUGCUCAAACUAUUGUUUUUCUAGA